This 69-nucleotide transfer RNA is filed under the name Prioniturus luconensis. RNAcentral's name for it is "tRNA-Glu". It matches the Rfam family "tRNA". Rfam says of the family: Transfer RNA (tRNA) molecules are approximately 80 nucleotides in length. Their secondary structure includes four short double-helical elements and three loops (D, anti-codon, and T loops). Lineage: Eukaryota; Metazoa; Chordata; Aves; Psittaciformes; Psittacidae. The record is from RNAcentral.
GUUCUCAUAGUUAAAGUAUAUAACGAUGGUUUUUCAGGCCAUAGGUCCUGGGUUGUCCAGGUGAGAACA